UUGGACUCCUGGGCUCAAGCUAUCCUCCCAUAUCGGUCUCCAGUGGCUGAACCAAUUUACAUCCCCAGCAAGAGCGUACAAGGGUUCCAGUUUCUCCACAUCACUGCCAACACUUGUUACGUCUUGUUUUGUUUCAUAAUGCCUCUCCUAAUGAGUGGUAAGUGAUAUCAUAUUUUGGCUUUUAUUUGUAUCUCUCUGAUCAUUAGUGAUGUUGAACAUCUUUUCAUAUACCUUUUGGCUAUUUGUAUGUCUUUGAAGAAAAUUUAUUCAAUCUUUUUGCCCCCCUUUUUAAGUUAUCUUUUUCUGUUGUUGUAGGAGUUCCUUACAUAUGUAAUGAGGUUUUUUUGAAUAAAUGAAUAUAAGUUUAAUAUAGUAAAGACAUUAACACAAUUUUUAUUUUAUGUUUAAUACAUUUUGUGCUCUAGAAAAAAAAUCAUUAUUUAUCUCACCCAAGAUCAUUAUGAUGUUCCUCAAAGUAUUCUUCUAGAAGCUUUAGCAUUCAUAUUUAGGUCUGUGAUCCAUCUUACAUUGAAUUUUGUGCAUGAUAUGAGUGAGAUAUUAAGAUUAAUGAAAAUGCUAAUUAUAAUAGAUUCUCAGGUCCUAGCCAAAGCUUUUGUAUAUUGGGAUCUCUUGAGAUCUAGGUUAUUUAAAGGUAAUAGACGAUCAGUAUUGAUGAAUUUGUUUUCUUUUUCUAUCUGGUGAUUCUCAACCUUUGUUCCAUAUUAGAAUCAAGUGGUUUGCUUGCUUGCUUCUUUUUGUCUUUGCUUUUAGUAGCACUGCCUCAAUCCUACCUUCAAAAAUUCUAAUUUGAUAACCUGGACAUCAGGAUUUUUGGGGAGAAGGGGACAGGGUCUCACUCUGUCACCUGGGCUAGUGUACAGUGGCAUGAUCACAGCUCAUUGCAGCCUCAAACUCCUGGGCUUGAGGGAUCCUUCUGCCUCAACCUCUCACGUAGCUUGAAUUACAGGUGUGAGCCACCAUGCCUGGUGACAUUGGGAUUUUAAUGGGUCUCUGGGUGAGUCUAAUAUAAAGCCAAGUUUGGGAAUCAUUGACAAGCUCCAAAAGCCUGGAAAAAAUGUAUACAUGAAGAUAGAGAUUAGUGUUACUCUCUCCUUGGGUGAAAACCCCUGACAAGUUUUAUUGAUUUAUUGGGAAACAACAUUGGAAGCAGUUUCUCCUCUGCCUCUUUAAUCCCUUGGCCAACGCAAUCUUGAGUUAAGCACAGUCUCACUAUUAAGUCUUGUAGGGUGAAUACAUCUUUACUUCCAGUUUUCAUCCACUUUAUCUUCAUCUCGGAGAAUUAUUGUGAAAAAAAAAGUUCUCAGUGUAUAACUCAUAUUAAGUAAAAGACAUGUAAUACAUUGUAA
RNAcentral lists this long non-coding RNA (1367 nucleotides) under Homo sapiens (human). RNAcentral describes it as "HSALNT0358752". The record is from RNAcentral. Lineage: Eukaryota; Metazoa; Chordata; Mammalia; Primates; Hominidae.